Molecule: ribosomal RNA, 468 nt
Filed under: uncultured bacterium
Lineage: Bacteria
Description: partial 16S ribosomal RNA
Rfam family: Bacterial small subunit ribosomal RNA
Source: RNAcentral
GACGAACGCUGGCGGCGUGCUUAACACAUGCAAGUCGAACGGAAAGGCCCUGCUUUUGUGGGGUGCUCGAGUGGCGAACGGGUGAGUAACACGUGAGUAACCUGCCCUUGACUUUGGGAUAACUUCAGGAAACUGGGGCUAAUACCGGAUAGGAGCUCCUGCUGCAUGGUGGGGGUUGGAAAGUUUCGGCGGUUGGGGAUGGACUCGCGGCUUAUCAGCUUGUUGGUGGGGUAGUGGCUUACCAAGGCUUUGACGGGUAGCCGGCCUGAGAGGGUGACCGGCCACAUUGGGACUGGGAUACGGCCCAGACUCCUACGGGAGGCAGAAGUGGGGAAUAUUGCACAAUGGGCGGAGGCCUGAUGCAGCAACGCCGCGGGCGGGAUGACGGCCUUCGGGUUGUAAACCGCUUUCGCCUGUGACGAAGCGUGAGUGACGGUAAUGGGUAAAGAAGCACCGGCUAACUACGUG